AUCCAAAACAAAAACAAAAAACCCCACCCAAUCCAACCAGGCCCGCAGCCGCUUGUGUCUUCUCCACCCAACUCCUCUCUCUAUCUCCCCGGAGCCAAAGCCAGCCGACGCCGCCUUCCGCAACCUCGGCCUCCACAGCACCGCCGCACUAGCGACCGCCCCUCCUUCUCCCCUUGGACGCGGAUCCACUCGAGCUGCUCACCCUGUGGUCGGAUGCGCGCUCCCUCCCUCCCUCCCUCCUCGCGCAGGAAACCCUAGCCGCUGGCCAUGGCGACCGACGGUGCUAUGGUGAGCUAGCAGCUACAUCUAACAGCCAAUGCAAGGGUUCUCCGGCGAGGUCUGCUCCUUCUCCACCAGUAGAGAAAGAGACGGGGCCCUCCUUCUCUCGCUGCUUCGACCCUCCCAGCGCCGACGCCAUGGAAGGUCCCCCUCCCCCUCUCCUCUCUCUCUCUCUUUCUCUGUUCGGCUCCCUCGCUGUUCUAGGACGCCAUGGACUCAUUUUUUUGUUCUUUCUCCCCUUUCUAUUUGAACAUGAGCAGUGUUAACCAUCUAUAUAUGUGUCUCACAUGUUGUAUCUUCUUGUUGCUGCGAUUUAAACAUGAGCAUGAGUCAGAUCCUUGUAAUUAGAAAAUAUCGGGGAACAAAAGAAGCCGCAACACACAUUCUCCGGGACAAGCACCAAGUACUGGGCCACAGUGGACUGGGAUAAGAUAAAAAAUUCAGAAGUGAGAGAAACACGUCACGCAAGUAUCAUCAUCUUCGCUCACAAUCUCCGAAGUUUGGGAUGGAGACAGAUCACUAUAUAUGUUAGUCGUGUUAUAUCAGAAAUACAGGUAAUUUGGGGGAGAUAGAUAGUUAUUGAGUGUGUGUUCCUGAACUGACAGUAGCAGUCUCCUGAAGCAAAGCAGAUUGUGUUUUGAUUGUUCAGAUUCAGGCCAGACCACGGAGUAGAAUUCUCAUGUCAAUUGCUACUCAAGCAUAAUUAAUCACUACUUCCAUCUUAUGUUAUGCAAUUGUGUGUAAGAUUUAAUUGUUCAGGUUCAGGCCAGAGCACCGGGUAGUCUCCUACAAAAACUUGGCGAUUGUGUGUAAGAUUUAAUUGUUCAGAUUCAGGCCAGAGCACCGGGUAGUCUCCUACAAAAACUUGGCGAUGUCCAUGGUUCAGGUUCGAACCAGCAUGAAAGGAAACAUCUAAUUGGGCUGAUUUAUGUUCUGUGCUACACAGAUGCAGUGCUCCGGCAAGCGGAUAUGCUGGUAAAAGUGUGCGCUGUUCAUGUGUUGUGCUGCAAAAACAGGAGAGUUCAUAUGAUAGUUUUGUCGCACAACGGGAUUCGAUGCUUGUCUUGUUGCGACCCAACCAGGCGCAGCUAACUCUAGCUGACACCGCGGAUGCCGGUGCCUCAAUGGAUCUUCCACGACCUCCUUGGCGAGGUGACGCCUCCUAGCCACUCUCCACCGCACGGACGGGAUGGUCGGCCUCGGCUACAGAUAUCAAAGAGAAAACAAAAUCGGCGGACAGAUUGGGGGAGAAGCAAGCAGGAGGGGGACCUUGAAGGCGUGGCGCGGCUUGCACCCCAUGAGCUGGAGCGCGCUCUGCAGGACGGGGCGCGUGUAGCGGAAGCCGCUCCCCUGGCGGCCGUCGGCGACGGCAAUGUAGAGCGGCGGCUGCUGCGGCCCAGGUUGACAAAUGGAAAGUAUCUCGUGAAGAUAAAAUUAAAUUCUCUCAUCGAACUAUACACUUUCUGCUCCCAUGGUUGAAAAAAUUCCACCACGAGCAGAUGCAAGAGAAAAUUGUUGAGGCAACAAUUAAAGGCAUUGAUGCAUGCGAAGUGAAGGUUCCACAAGCUAAUUGUGCAAAAAAUGAAAGGAUAUUCUGUAACAACUGCAGAACAUCUAUAGUUGACUUCCACAGAAGCUGUACUAAAUGUUCCUAUGAUCUCUGCCUCAUUUGCUGCCGGGAGCUUCGUCUUGGGCGCUGUCCUGGUGGUGGUGCUGCAAGUAACACGGUCCUUACACAACCCGAGGUAGAAGGCAAGGAAGAUUUGCAACAGACACGUAGUGAUGAUAUUGCUGUGAGUUAAAAGAUUCCUGAUGGACAGAAUGGCCUGUUGAGGAACAGGGCAGUUCCUGUUGAGGAUAGUGCUGCUGUUGCAAGUAGCAUGGUCUUUACACAACCUGAGGUAGAAGGCAAGGAAGAUUUGCAACAGACAAGUAGUGAUGAUAACUCUGUGAGUCAAAAGCUUUCUGAUGGACAGAGUAUAAAGGGUACACCACAAGGGCGGAUGCGGAAGUUAUAUACGCGCGCUAUCUAGCGGGAGAGAGGAGGGAGUGUUGGAGGAACCGGAUGAAGACCAGUUUCAUCGCGAUUAUGCUCAUCGUGAUGACCGCAGCUCUCUUCUAUGUGAUGGUAGUUUAGAUGAUCGAUAUCGACUUGUAAUGUGAAGACAAACUUGUUACUCGCGUCCUCGAGAUUUGUAAUGUUCUAACUUUGUUCGGUAUUUUAAAUUCGGAGACUAAUAUGAUGAAUUGUAUUCGGAGACUAA
Molecule: RNA transcript, 2543 nt
Organism: Hordeum vulgare subsp. vulgare (domesticated barley)
Lineage: Eukaryota; Viridiplantae; Streptophyta; Magnoliopsida; Poales; Poaceae
Gene name: lysine-specific demethylase JMJ25-like
Exons: 7
Source: RefSeq, a predicted model, not a curated record